This is a long non-coding RNA of Alligator mississippiensis (American alligator), 609 nucleotides long. RefSeq lists it as uncharacterized. The transcript is spliced from 3 exons. The record is from RefSeq and is a predicted model, not a curated record. NCBI's taxonomy places the organism in Eukaryota, Metazoa, Chordata, Crocodylia, Alligatoridae.
AGGUAAUUCUUGUAUGUGCUAUUGACAACUCUGUACAGAAAAAGAAAAUAACUCAAGAACACUGGAGAGUUAAGUACCUCAAAAUGUGACCCAAAAAAGCCAGCAUGCUGAACAGAUGCAGUUCCAGGUCCCAUUUUUAAAGUACAUUUUAUCUGCUAAAGAGAUAAGCCCAGAUUUGUAUUUGCAUGGAUUAGCAGUCAGCAAGGGAUCUGGGUUCUGAUUUUUAUGACAUGUUCCUUUCACUACUGCAAAGCUUUUUCAUGGGGUCUUCCCAUAUGACUUGCUGUACAGGGAGUAACAGACAUGGUGCAAAAUACCCCUGCCAAAUGCUCCACAUGCUUUAACAAAGGUGAAUAAAAGAUGUGCUGAGUGAUUUGGAAGGAAAAUGUUUAUUGCUGAACAAUGGUCCAUAAAACAAAGUGUAAAAAUAGAUUUUUUUUGUCUCUGUCUUAUCCCCCAAUAUUACUGCAUUAAAAAAGGCUUCUUGGCUUUGCUGUGAGAGAGGUGAUUUAAUGAACCAUGGAGUGAGAUGUAAAUGAAUAACAGUGAUCUCAUGCUGACUAUAAAGAGCUGAUGUACAUGUUGAUGAAAUAUUGACACAAAUAAAAC